Molecule: ribosomal RNA, 119 nt
Organism: Chlorocebus sabaeus (green monkey)
Lineage: Eukaryota; Metazoa; Chordata; Mammalia; Primates; Cercopithecidae
Source: Rfam
GUCUGUGGCCAUACCACUCUGAACGCGCCCGAUCUCGUCUGAUCUUGGAAGCUAAGUACGGUUGGGCCUGGUUAGUACUUGAAUGGGAGACCAUAUGGGAAUACCGGGUGCUGUAAGAA